AUUGAACGCUGGCGGCAUGCUUUACACAUGCAAGUCGAACGGUAACAGGCCGCAAGGUGCUGACGAGUGGCGAACGGGUGAGUAAUGCAUCGGAACGGGCCCAGUCGUUGGGGAUAACUACUCGAAAGAGUAGCUAAUACCUCAUACGAUCUAUGGAUGAAAGCGGGGGACCGUAAUGCCUCGCGCGAUUUGAGCGGCCGAUGUCAGAUUAGGUAGUUGGUGGGGUAAAGGCUCACCAAGCCAACGAUCUGUAGCUGGUCUGAGAGGACGACCAGCCACACUGGGACUGAGACACGGCCCAGACUCCUACGGGAGGCAGCAGUGGGGAAUUUUGGACAAUGGGCGCAAGCCUGAUCCAGCAAUGCCGCGUGCAGGAAGAAGGCCUUCGGGUUGUAAACUGCUUUUGUAAGGAACGAAACGGCUCUGGUUAAUACCCGGGGCUAAUGACGGUACCGUAAGAAUAAGCACCGGCUAACUACGUG
RNAcentral lists this ribosomal RNA (482 nucleotides) under uncultured bacterium. RNAcentral describes it as "partial 16S ribosomal RNA". It matches the Rfam family "Bacterial small subunit ribosomal RNA", at positions 30 to 507 of the family's 1533-position model. The record is from RNAcentral.